Molecule: long non-coding RNA, 1925 nt
Filed under: Homo sapiens (human)
Lineage: Eukaryota; Metazoa; Chordata; Mammalia; Primates; Hominidae
Description: HSALNT0267435
Source: RNAcentral
UGUUUUCACGAUGUGGAACACGUCAAUGAUGUUUUGCUGCUGGAUCAUCUCACACACACUGCAGAUGGCACAGAAGGUUCCACUACGGCCUCCCCCAUUUCUAAACAAUUUCUCUUUAGGAUAAUACUCAAAGGACUGCCCGUGUGGAAAUUCUGGAUCAGCCAGCUUGGGGUAGCUGUGAAGAUGAGUAGCAUCCUAGAUAUGGGAUACUGCAUGUCAAAAUACAGAGAUCUGUGGGUUGCUCCGAUGAGCUGAAUGACCCAGAAGAUAAAAGAGGAAGGUUGAGAUCACUGUUAUUUCUUGCAGAAACCAGCAAGAAACUGAGCUCGGCUCCCUGGCUCACAUAGACAUGGAACAGAGAUCACAUCUGUGAGUGGAGGAGCCAGACUUUUUUCUUCCUUAGAUGUAAAACUUUUGAAGUUGGCUGAUCCAAGAAUAGAUUCAAAUUCUUCAGCCAAGAGUCUAGACCAACUGACUUUUUCCAUGUCUGUACCAGGUUGACCCUUUGGGCCCGGAGCUCACGCACGCAGUUGAAGAUGUCCACCACCCCUUCAUUCUCGGCCAUGUCAAGCAUGGUGUCAAUGGCAAUGAAGCAGCCAGUCCGCCCAGCCCCAGCUUUCUUCUUCAGCAAAUGGGUUGACGGAUGGAAGCAAAGAAGGAGAGGAGAGAGAACAGAGGGGAGAUGAAUGACAGGACAGAAACGAGAGUCCUCUGAGCUGUCCCCAAGACAGAGAGUGGUUGGUGGAGCACCACGUUCAAAGGCCGGCAUCUGGCUCCACCUGCAGCUGUUUUCGCAGGAUCGUGAAGCAAGAGUGUCAUGAAACUGGAGCAGCUGACCGUCCGGAGACCCUUGUCAGGGAUCAAGUUUCUUGAUACAUACUUACUUGAUUUCUGGUCACUAGUGGCUUCUUUAGGAGAAUCUCAGACCAAGUAUAAAAUGGUAGGGGAACUCAACGAGACUCUAUGGGCCUUGGCCAGCCCUUUCUAGAUCAGUGCUGGGCUCUGAAACAUCAGUGCUGACCAAGAGGCACGUAAGACAUGUGCCUUACACAUGUGCAGUUUUGGAUGGGAAGGCCGGGCAGCCUGUCAAGGAGGCCCCCUUCCGCUGCGUUUUCACAUCUUGCCUUUCUCAUGGAAACAAGUGUCUUUGUCUAACAAUGUAGAUGUCAAAAGACACACAAAGAGGAAGAGAGAUGGAACAAGACAAAAAAGCAAUAUUGGCUCAUGGUAAAUCCAAGGGGCACAGGCCAGUGCGGACCACUACCUACAACAAUUUGGAAAGUACACCCAUUGGAAGCAGAGUCUUCAUUCAUGAGAAACUUUCAUGGUUUGAAUGAAGUCUGACUUAAGUUUGCUUCAGAACCUACUCCCCAAAAUCCAGAUGCGGGGACUCAAGAGACUUGGCCUCUGUGUCUGGGAGGGAGUAUAGGGGGGGUCACUCGUGUUUUUUUCUUCAAUGUUCAUAUUCACCAUGCUUUAGUAUAAAGAAUCAGCCCAAUUUGGUUCCAAAUUUUGGAACAACUAUCAAUCAAUCAGCGGUGACCAAGUUGCCUAGUGUCCGUUUGUUUGUUAGCUUCAGAUUUCUGAUGCUUUUAACAUACCUCCCUGCAGGGUCCUUGUGAGGACAAAGCUGUGUUUAUUUCAUUUCAGCAUCACAUAGUAAUUGAACACAGGAUAUUUGAAAAGACCCCCUAGGAUUAAAUCCUGGCUCUAUUACUUAUUAGCUGCAUGACCUCGGGCAAAUGACUUAACCUCUCUGGGUUUCAAUACUCAUCUAUAAAAUGAUGUUGAUAAUAAUUAAAAUACUCACUCAUCUAUAAAAUGAUGUUGAUAAUAAUUAAUAGAUCCACCUCACAGCAUUAAUAGCACAAUAUGUAUAAAUUGGAUGAAAUUACAAUUAAAAUGCAUAAUGCAUACAAAUUGCU